This is a long non-coding RNA of Carassius gibelio (silver crucian carp), 1594 nucleotides long. RefSeq lists it as uncharacterized. The record is from RefSeq and is a predicted model, not a curated record. NCBI's taxonomy places the organism in Eukaryota, Metazoa, Chordata, Actinopteri, Cypriniformes, Cyprinidae. The transcript has 2 exons.
GGAAGAUUUUUAGUAGAAAGGUUUUAAUUAAUCAAGUAUACAAUCAAUGUGAAUCUAGCCAUUUUUGUUUUAAGUUAUUAUUCUAUUAAAAGCUAAUAGAAAGUUGCCUACGCCCUGGAAUGUACCAAACUGAUAAGAAACACAGGGUCAGAUAUACAUUGAGGGCCUGCGUAAAGCAAGCAGAAGGCCUCUCCUCUAGGGAUGUAUGAAAUGUGUAGACUAAAGAUAAAGUUGUUGACUAUGUGGAACCGCCCCAUAUAAUGUAUAAAACCAAAAACAAAAUAGCAUACGAGAGAUCUUCUUGCCAGGAGCUCUCGACUUUGUUUUGCGCAAAAUAAAGUCUUUUCUUCUGAGAGAAAAAUCCCUGACUGAGUUCGAUUCUUUGGAGAACCGGCAAAAUACACCACAUAUUUGGCACCCCAGAUGGGACUGGAAAGGAGCAGAGUGGACGACUGCUUUUGAGCUGACUGAUGAGCAACACACACACACAGUGGUGGCCACCAUAGAAUAAGUUUUCCAUUUACAGGUGACAGCAGUUCCAGUAAGACCAAGGAAUGCUUCGCCCCAUCAAAGAGAACCAGUGAGGGUGCAGUAAUCAUCUCAAGAGAGCCUGGCAUUAAUCAGCAAAAUGGUUACAGAGUGACACCUGAGUUCACAUCUCUAACCUUAAAAUAAUCCAACCAGCUUCAACAACUCCACACAGCAUGAAGUGAGGGAUGAAGGGCGUGCUAGUAACGACCCCAGUUGCCAACGAGGGAAAGACCAUUGCAACGACUCGCAAAGAGUCUCCCUGGUGAAGAUGGAAUGAGAGAAUGAUGGGACUGCUACUGAGAUCAAAAUACUUGGGAGCAGAUAUGAGCCAACAAAUAGAAAAGAAAAAGUGGAAAAAGAAUGUAAAGUAAUGGUAGAUGAAGAAUUUGAAGGUUAUGAGAAGGGAAAUAUGGAUGUAGGAAGGAUAGAAGGGAGAAUAGAGCAAUUGGAUGCAACAAAUAGAAUGAAAGGAGCAAAAUAGAAAAGCUCAAGAUUAUUUGUGAAUUGAAGAAGGAAAAGUAUGUGUUAUGUUUGAGGGACAAUGCUGUAUUUAUAUACCAAAUAAUACUGCUCAAGAAGGAGCAUUUAAUGAAGUACUGAUCAAAUUGAAAAGGCUAAGAAGGGUAGAUAAAGAAACUGUUGGAAAAGAUAAUAAAAUGUAAGACUGGUUUGAUUUACAGUUAGGAGCAUGGGGAGCAUAGUUUAUAAUUAAAUAGGGAAAGUUUUUAGGAAUUGCAUUAUUGACAGGAGAUUUACUAUUUUAAUGUAUACUUCCUAUAUUGAAGUCACAAGUCAAAGCCACAGUUAAGCAAAUUAAAUUCAAAGAUGUCAAAAUGAUGGGAAAUAGAUUUUUGAAGGUAACCGAAAAGGCUCUCUAUUAUACAUAAGGUAUCCGAGCCAAAGAUCAACUCUUAUAAUCUUGUGAUAUUCAAUGUGUGAUGUGAUGUAUGUAUUUGUAUGUCUUUUAUACAUAACUGUGAUGACCACCGGCCAGUGCUGAACCAAUUGCACAUUCAUGCUUUUAACAAUGUUUACUGUUAAAAGAGGGGUUAGGGAGACUGGA